This is a long non-coding RNA of Centrocercus urophasianus (Greater sage-grouse), 1311 nucleotides long. RefSeq lists it as uncharacterized. NCBI's taxonomy places the organism in Eukaryota, Metazoa, Chordata, Aves, Galliformes, Phasianidae. The record is from RefSeq and is a predicted model, not a curated record. The transcript is spliced from 3 exons.
GCACGCAGAUGCACAGCAGGCUGAGACAUUCCUGCAUCCUUUUCCAUCCUUCUCCAUUCCCCGUGUUCCCAGCAGGGCAGAGCCGUGUGACACCAAAGGCUGAUGGGUUCCCCGGGAUUCCGGUGGCUGUGUGUUCGCUCCUUCCGUUAAGCAGGUACCCGCAGCACAUUCCUUCCCGCAGUUUCCUGGUGCCCCUCGCUACCCGGCCGCUGAUCCGGCUUGUGCUGAGGCCGCGGCGUGCGGGAGGAACCACCAGGUGGCGACGUCUCUCCGUGCUGCUACUGCGGGCUUUGGUGGCUUUUCCGCCCUUCGCUCAGAAGCAGGAGCAGACGCAGCUUGCUAGCUUGCUGCCUACCGGCACCGCUCAGUGCACGCUGGCAGAGCCGCCCCAUGCAUUGGAGAGGCAGCUUCCCCCUUUGCAGGAGGCACAGCACUGCUGACCUCAUCAGGAUCCCACCUCGUGCGUUGACGUGGAAUGAAGUCACCGUGGAGCUGGGACCCGGCAGUGAGCUGCAGGGCUGUGUGUGACAAAGAGAGCAACCUGAUGGCAGGGGACUGCGAAACCUCCGUGACGUGCUUUGGAGAAAUACGUGGUCAGAGGGUGAAUACGCAGAGGAGAAGAAAUGCUCAGUUUGGGAUGAGCUGCCCUGGUUCUGCAGCCCCAACCGCCAUCUGUUGCGCUGAGCUCCAUCUAGCUCAGGCCAUAACUGUGCUCUCACCAGAUGUUAGCUUACAUGAGCUGCAUGUAAAAGUGAACUGGUGCGAGAGCUGUGGCCCGAAGUGCUUUCAGUAGGGUCUGACCUGCCGCAGUGACGACGUGCUAGCCGGCCUCUCGCUGCGGGGAUGCGCUCCAGAAGUCGCAGGUGUGUGGCUGGAGCUUGGUCAGUGAGUCAGGAUAGGAAAUAUCUUCCAAAGCUCCAAAUAAGACAAAACAAACUGAGCUUUAGCACAUGCUCAACCGAUUGAGCCUUUGGCAAAGUAUGACAUGAAUUUUCAGGGCUCUCACUGAGGCUGCAUCUUGCCUGCUGCGUCCUUCGGCGCCGAUCCUCCAGAACAGGAAAGUGGGAAUAAAGCUACGAGCGCAGAGCUGGCUGCUCACAGAAUAUCUGCAGCGUGAUUGGCACUAAUGCUCUGCAGCCAGUGGGAGAAGAUACGUUACCCAAGUAAGUGAAAUGAGCACCGAGAUGGGGGAUAUAUGAUAACUUCUGAAGCAGAAGGAAUAAGACCUCAGGCAACAGAGCUCCAAACAGCGCGCUGUCUUUUUUCCAUUUCUGAGCCCGUGGUGUUCAAUUAACCCCUUUUCUCUGUGCU